AAUUUUUUAGAGAGUUUGAUCCUGGCUCAGGAUGAACGCUGGCGGCAUGCCUAACACAUGCAAGUCGAACGGAGCACCCCUGACGGAGUUUUCGGACAAC
RNAcentral lists this ribosomal RNA (100 nucleotides) under Intestinimonas butyriciproducens. Its description in RNAcentral is "partial 16S ribosomal RNA". It matches the Rfam family "Bacterial small subunit ribosomal RNA", at positions 1 to 102 of the family's 1533-position model. The record is from RNAcentral. Lineage: Bacteria; Bacillati; Bacillota; Clostridia; Eubacteriales.